CCUACGGGUGGCUGCAGUGGGGAAUAUUGGGCAAUGGAGGCAACUCUGACCCAGCAACGCCGCGUGAAUGAUGAAGGUCUUCGGAUUGUAAAGUUCUUUUCUAAGGGAAGAAGAAAGUGACGGUACCUUAGGAAUAAGCCUCGGCUAACUACGUGCCAGCAGCAGCGGGAAUACGUAGGAGGCAAGCGUUAUCCGGAUGGACUGGGCGUAAAGGGUGCGUAGGUGGGUUGACAAGUUAGUAGGGCAACUCCGGAGCUUAACUUCGGACUGACCACUAACACUGUUGGACUUGAGUGCAGGAGGGGCAAUCGGAAUGCGCGGUGUAGCGGUGGAAGGCGUAGAUAUCGGGAGGAACUCCAGUUGCGAAGGCGGAUUACCAG
This 380-nucleotide ribosomal RNA is filed under the name uncultured bacterium. RNAcentral's name for it is "partial 16S ribosomal RNA". It matches the Rfam family "Bacterial small subunit ribosomal RNA", at positions 338 to 732 of the family's 1533-position model. The record is from RNAcentral.